This 74-nucleotide transfer RNA is filed under the name Parcubacteria group bacterium. RNAcentral describes it as "tRNA-Ala". It matches the Rfam family "tRNA". From Rfam's summary of the family: Transfer RNA (tRNA) molecules are approximately 80 nucleotides in length. Their secondary structure includes four short double-helical elements and three loops (D, anti-codon, and T loops). Further hydrogen bonds mediate the characteristic L-shaped molecular structure. tRNAs have two regions of fundamental functional importance: the anti-codon, which is responsible for specific mRNA codon recognition, and the 3' end, to which the tRNAs corresponding amino acid is attached (by aminoacyl-tRNA synthetases). tRNAs cope with the degeneracy of the genetic code in two manners: having more than one tRNA (with a specific anti-codon) for a particular amino acid; and 'wobble' base-pairing, i.e. permitting non-standard base-pairing at the 3rd anti-codon position. The record is from RNAcentral.
GGGCUCGUAGCUCAAUUGGCUAGAGCACCCGGUUUGCAUCCGGGAGGUUGCGGGUUCGAGCCCCGCCGAGUCCA